GGCGGCGUAGCUCAGGUGGUUAGAGCGUGGGCUUCAUAAUCCCAAGGUCACUGGUUCGAAUCCAGUCGCCGCUA
RNAcentral lists this transfer RNA (74 nucleotides) under Planctomycetota bacterium. RNAcentral describes it as "Planctomycetes bacterium (anaerobic digester metagenome) tRNA-Met". It matches the Rfam family "tRNA". From Rfam's summary of the family: Transfer RNA (tRNA) molecules are approximately 80 nucleotides in length. Their secondary structure includes four short double-helical elements and three loops (D, anti-codon, and T loops). Further hydrogen bonds mediate the characteristic L-shaped molecular structure. tRNAs have two regions of fundamental functional importance: the anti-codon, which is responsible for specific mRNA codon recognition, and the 3' end, to which the tRNAs corresponding amino acid is attached (by aminoacyl-tRNA synthetases). tRNAs cope with the degeneracy of the genetic code in two manners: having more than one tRNA (with a specific anti-codon) for a particular amino acid; and 'wobble' base-pairing, i.e. permitting non-standard base-pairing at the 3rd anti-codon position. The record is from RNAcentral. Lineage: Bacteria; Pseudomonadati; Planctomycetota.